This 513-nucleotide unclassified non-coding RNA is filed under the name Hevea brasiliensis (rubber tree). The record is from RNAcentral. Lineage: Eukaryota; Viridiplantae; Streptophyta; Magnoliopsida; Malpighiales; Euphorbiaceae.
GAGAAAUAGUAGUAUCUACAUAGCGAAAGAUGGAACUGAGAAUUGCUGAAGGAAAGGCUUCUUCACCGAAGAGAGAAAUCCGAUCAUUAAGAGCUCGAAAUCAUCGCAGUCUAAGGAACAAUCUAUUGGAAUCCAUUGCACAAGCUAACGUUGGAAGCGUAGUUUCUCAGGCGAAUGAAGAUGGGGUUGUGAGGAUGAAGCUGCUCGUAAGAAAACAAGAUUUAAGACAAAUGCUGGAAAUGAUGAGAUGUCAAGGCAAGAACAGUUCUCAACAGCAAUCUUUUUCGCAAACUUCGUCUUUGUCUGUAGAACAACGGUUAAAUCUUCUGCGGAAAAAGCACCUUUUACGAGCCAAUAAUGCAGCAGCAAAGGAGAGCCGCAGACGUUCUUGGUCUCCCGCCCUUCAAAGCAUUCCUGAGGAGUACUGAUUCUGAAUUCUGGGAAGCCUAAAUUGAAUCCAUUGUGAAUCCAGAAAGACAUUAGGCAUGUUGAGACUCAUUUGUUAAAUAGGUG